RNAcentral lists this long non-coding RNA (214 nucleotides) under Malus domestica (apple). RNAcentral describes it as "long non-coding RNA (MDOM_LNC014974)". The record is from RNAcentral. Lineage: Eukaryota; Viridiplantae; Streptophyta; Magnoliopsida; Rosales; Rosaceae.
CACACGCUCACUUUGGAUCUAAGGUAGGUGUCAGCCUGUCGUACAUACCACAUUAGGUGGUUCCGACUCGUAGGUGACUUGCGAUACUUCGCACAGCCUUCACGUGAUCGUAGCACUUGAGCGUAUUUAUUUACACCCAACCUGUCAUACAGACCACAUUAAGUGGUUCUGACUCAUGUGCAAGAAUUAGUAGAUGAGCUAUAUAGGCAACUCC